CAAGGCUUGACAUGGAUUUCUAAGCACGUGAAAGCGUGUGACCCUUCGGGGGACUUCCACAGGUGCUGCAUGGCCGUCGUCAGCUCGUGUCGUGAGAUGUUGGGUUAAGUCCCGCAACGAGCGCAACCCCUGUGAUUAGUUGCCAGCGAGUAAUGUCGGGGACUCUAAUCAGACUGCCCAGAUCAACUGGGAGGAAGGUGGGGACGACGUCAGGUCAGUAUGGCCCUUACGCCUUGGGCUGCACACGUACUACAAUGCCCAGUACAAUGAGAACCGAGACCGCGAGGUGGAGGAAAUCUACAAAACUGGGCCCAGUUCGGAUUGGAGGCUGCAACUCGCCUCCAUGAAGCCGGAAUCGCUAGUAAUGCUGCAUCAGCUACGGCAGCGGAAUACGUCCUAUGCAU
Molecule: ribosomal RNA, 404 nt
Filed under: uncultured Luteolibacter sp.
Lineage: Bacteria; Pseudomonadati; Verrucomicrobiota; Verrucomicrobiia; Verrucomicrobiales; Verrucomicrobiaceae
Description: bacterial SSU rRNA
Rfam family: Bacterial small subunit ribosomal RNA
Source: RNAcentral